GAUGAACGCUGGCGGCAGGCCUAACACAUGCAAGUCGAGCGGCAGCGGGAAAGUAGCUUGCUACUUUUGCCGGCGAGCGGCGAACGGGUGAGUAAUGCCUGGGAAAUUGCCCAGUCGAGGGGGAUAACAGUUGGAAACGACUGCUAAUACCGCAUACGCCCUACGGGGGAAAGCAGGGGACCUUCGGGCCUUGCGCGAUUGGAUAUGCCCAGGUGGGAUUAGCUAGUUGGUGAGGUAAUGGCUCACCAAGGCGACGAUCCCUAGCUGGUCUGAGAGGAUGAUCAGCCAGACUGGAACUGAGACACGGUCCAGACUCCUACGGGAGGCAGCAGUGGGGAAUAUUGCACAAUGGGGGAAACCCUGAUGCAGCCAUGCCGCGUGUGUGAAGAAGGCCUUCGGGUUGUAAAGCACUUUCAGCGAGGAGGAAAGGUUGAUGCCUAAUACGUAUCAACUGUGACGUUACUCGCAGAAGAAGCACCGGCUAACUCCGUGCCAGCAGCCGCGGUAA
Molecule: ribosomal RNA, 508 nt
Filed under: uncultured bacterium
Lineage: Bacteria
Description: partial 16S ribosomal RNA
Rfam family: Bacterial small subunit ribosomal RNA
Source: RNAcentral